GGUACCCUGCUGUGUUCGUGAUGCUGACACUCAGUUUUGUACCAACAUGAACAAAAAAGGUCUGACCUUCUUCAGGUGACGUGAUAGACAAAAGUCAAGAUUGAUCCUGUUAGUAAGACCAUCCUGCUUUAGCAGGUUCAAAACCCUCCAGCACACGGCAUGGCGGGGUUGUA
This 173-nucleotide non-coding RNA is filed under the name Anaerolineaceae bacterium. RNAcentral describes it as "6S RNA". It matches the Rfam family "6S / SsrS RNA". Rfam says of the family: E. coli 6S RNA was the first non coding RNA to be sequenced, but its function was unknown until recently. The record is from RNAcentral. RNAcentral also lists the same sequence under 1 other name. Lineage: Bacteria; Bacillati; Chloroflexota; Anaerolineae; Anaerolineales; Anaerolineaceae.